CGUAGUAACAGAAGCUAGAUAACAGAGGCUUCUGGAGUGAGUAGGCAGUGAGAAAAUGGAGGUGGUAAAAGAGGGGAAAACUAGAACAAAUAGUCAAGUAAAGAUUUUUGUUUUGUUUUAAUGUACUAAAAGUAACCAGUAUAGUGCUUAUGCUUUUUCCUGUUAUUCUUUUGUGGUUUUUCAAUAGAUAUCUCAGAUCUCAGUGAAGAUAUCUUGCUGUCCACGCCUUAAAAUUCUUCGCCUGGAAGAGAAUUGUCUUGAGCUCAGCAUGCUUCCCCAGAGCAUCCUCAGUGAUUCCCAGAUCUGUCUGCUUGCUGUGGAAGGCAAUCUUUUUGAAAUAAAGAAACUUCGAGAACUGGAAGGCUAUGAUAAGUACAUGGAGAGGUUCACAGCCACCAAGAAGAAGUUUGCGUGAAGUUCUCCAGGACUAUGGAAACCUUACAGGAUACUGACUUAGAACCUCUGUUGGAAUGUGGCUGAGUCAAAGCCUCCUGUUGUUGUUAGGGGUAUCUACAGUAAGGAGAUGAUACU
This 531-nucleotide long non-coding RNA is filed under the name Homo sapiens (human). RNAcentral's name for it is "non-protein coding lnc-ZNF106-1:1". Lineage: Eukaryota; Metazoa; Chordata; Mammalia; Primates; Hominidae. The record is from RNAcentral.